GGAGGUUAUACCCGGAGGUCUCGACGCUCGCUCGUGCUGCUCGUGUUGCCGCUGGGUACGUUUGCUGCCAGUGCUGAUCCAGCCGGAGGCGAAGAGAAGCACUUUGGGGGCAAAAGCCAAAAAGAAAAAAGAAAACCAAUAUUUAAGAGAGAGAAAAAUGAAGACGGGACAUUUUGAAAUAGUCACCAUGCUGCUGGCAACCAUGAUUCUAGUGGACAUUUUCCAGUGAAGGCUGAAGUGUUAGACAUGG
RNAcentral lists this long non-coding RNA (250 nucleotides) under Homo sapiens (human). Its description in RNAcentral is "HSALNT0073889". The record is from RNAcentral. Lineage: Eukaryota; Metazoa; Chordata; Mammalia; Primates; Hominidae.